CCAGAGGUUGAAGAUGGAGUUUAGUAAGAAGUUCAGCCUCUUUCCUCAACCUUCCUCACGGUCCUGGCCCCCUAGUGGCGACCUGCGCAGGCUCAAGGAAUUGGAUAAAGGUGAGAAAUGAAAGACAUGUCAAGCAUGCUGUUCUAGAAGGACGUGUUCAGAUGUGCCUGGGACCUCGCCCUGCGUAAUGCUUCAGGACUCAACAAGGCAGGCCCAGUGAUCUGUGAAUCAUCUUUAUCUUCUGAUAAAGAGGAACACGUUUCUCUAUGUUCAUUAAACAAAAGGGAAUGACCAAUAGCAGGAACUUCUUCACCAAGUCCUGGACACAGCACCUGCUUUUCCAAGUCAGAUACAAAGCCCAAACAUUUCCACUCUAAACAAUAUGCAGCUGUGAAGAACUGUGGCAGACCAGAAUGGGGACAAGUCACUGCAGUGGCUCACCAUUAAUAGCAGCUUGCAGCACCCAGAGGAGGAACUAUAUGCACAAAGGAGCCUGCUCAACCCAAUGAAGUAAAAACAUUAGCAGCCCUGGAGGCCUCAUUGUGAAGAUGGUUGUGUCACAAGAUGGGAGGAAACUGGAUCCCUGAGUCAGAGAAGAGGUGCCCAGGAGAGCCACCCAACCAAGAACACCUACACUGAACUUUGCAUGAGUAAAAAAAUAAUUUGUGUGUGUGUUAAGCGUCAGAGAUCCAAAUAUUGUUAACACUGUUAGAUUACCUCAAUCUAACUAAUCUGACUAAUGCAAAAGGAGUAUUAGGAGAUGUUUGCAAUAUUUGAGAUAAGAUAAAGACUUUCCAUAUUAUAUGCUGAAGUAUAGGAGCCCUUGGAGAAGACAAGUGGAAGAUGGAAGAAAGAGGGAUAAUAAUUUAUAGAUAAUAUUGAGAAGGCAGGAGGAGAUAGGAUCCAGAGCAUAAGAAGCAUUAGCUCCUUCAACAGGAGGCAGGAAAGAGGGAUGCCUAUUUAAAACAGAAGGGAAGACACAUCUAUAGGUGAGCAGUAAGAAGCCACCUAGUUUUCUCUAAGACAGAGGAGGUAAAGACAUCUGCUGAGAGAGUGAAAGGAUAGCAAUAAAGGUCCAAGACAAACAUUAAUAGUAAUUUCUGUGAAGAACAGGAGAGAGCUGGGCAGAGAUAUUUAACAAGUGAAAGGCCACCAGCCCACAUGGUUGGAUGAAUUUUCUCCAGCCCAGCUCAUCAUUCUGGGUGUAGGGGACAGAUAGAUGGAUUUUAGGAUUGAUCCAAGGUUAAAGGAUUGCAGAGUAGAUGCAUUGCAAGAACAAAGGAAUGGUGGAAUUGGCUCAGUAAGUUAGGAUAGGCCUAGCUGCUGUAACCAGGGACCCAACAGUAAUUCAGUUGUUCAAACAAGAUAGAAUUUUCCAAUUCCAGGUACAAUGGAGUAUUCCACAGUGGAUGCAGCUAAAAAUAAAACAAAACAAAAACCUGGACAUAAUAUAUAGAGCAGAUUUUUAAGGACUCUGAAAAUUAAAUAGCAGUUGGUGAUUGGGGAAGAGGACUAGAAUUUGAAGUACCAUCAAACUGGUAGUGAGUUUGUCAUCUUCUUGCUCCAAUAAGCAGCAUAAAACCUGAAUGUGGGCAUCUGCACAGAGGGAGCUCCAGGAGAAUCCCUCUAGCUCUGGCUCAAAGAACAGAGAAGAGUCUCCUAAUGCUCUGAGAGAGUGGGGAAACCCGCCUUUUUUCUUUUCUCCAUUCUCUCACACGCCAGCCCCUAAGAAAUCCCAUGGUGGCAGUGGCAGUGGCAGCAUCUGUAGUGACGGUUGGACCUGCAGGAUUCUAAAAUGCUGAGGGAGGGGAACCUUUGUCUCUGAUCAGAGGAGCUGUGAUCAUCUGUGUGGGACAGACCCCUGUUGCUUUUUGUUUUCUCUCUGCCCUCCUGCUGGUUGAUCCUGGACAUCAGUGUAAUUGCAAAAACUGUGAAACAGAGUCAAUAAAAAGCUCCAACUUUCUGGUUGGAGAAUUCCAGGUAACCAGAAAGUACUGAAGAGAUUGCCACAGGGAGGAGAUUGGGAAAGCAACCCCAUAAAGUUGCUUAUGAAUUCUUGGGCCCACUUCCAAGUGCAUAUGCCCAUGCCCAUGCUGACUCCAAACAGCAUACAAGUUUAAGAACUGAACUUAAACUUGUUCUAAUAAGAACUUGGAAUUCUUAUUAGAUACUAUGGAGGACAGAAAGAAGUGAAACAACAUUCCUAAAGUGAAGAAAGAAAAAAUACUGUCAAGCCAGAAUUCUAUAUCCAGCAAAAAUACUUUCCGGAAGGAAAGUGAAAUAAAGACAUUCUCAAUGAAGGAAAACUAAGAGCCAGCAGACUGCCCAAAAAUAAUUGCUAAAGGAAGUCCUUCAGACUGAAGAAAAAUUAUACCAGAGGAAGGAAACUUGGGAU
Delphinapterus leucas (beluga whale) is the source of this 2395-nucleotide non-coding RNA. The record is from RefSeq and is a predicted model, not a curated record. NCBI's taxonomy places the organism in Eukaryota, Metazoa, Chordata, Mammalia, Artiodactyla, Monodontidae.